This 495-nucleotide ribosomal RNA is filed under the name uncultured bacterium. RNAcentral's name for it is "partial 16S ribosomal RNA". It matches the Rfam family "Bacterial small subunit ribosomal RNA", at positions 28 to 507 of the family's 1533-position model. The record is from RNAcentral.
GACGAACGCUGGCGGCGUGCCUAAUACAUGCAAGUAGAACGCUGAAGGAGGAGCUUGCUUCUCCGGAUGAGUUGCGAACGGGUGAGUAACGCGUAGGUAACCUGCCUGGUAGCGGGGGAUAACUAUUGGAAACGAUAGCUAAUACCGCAUAACAGUAGAUGUUGCAUGACAUUUGCUUAAAAGGUGCAAUUGCAUCACUACCAGAUGGACCUGCGUUGUAUUAGCUAGUUGGUGAGGUAACGGCUCACCAAGGCGGCGAUACAUAGCCGACCUGAGAGGGUGAUCGGCCACACUGGGACUGAGACACGGCCCAGACUCCUACGGGAGGCAGCAGUAGGGAAUCUUCGGCAAUGGACGGAAGUCUGACCGAGCAACGCCGCGUGAGUGAAGAAGGGUGUCGGAUCGUAAAGCUCUGUUGUAAGAGAAGAACGAGUGUGAGAGUGGAAAGUUCACACUGUGACGGUAUCUUACCAGAAAGGGACGGCUAACUACGUG